RNAcentral lists this ribosomal RNA (846 nucleotides) under marine metagenome. Its description in RNAcentral is "bacterial SSU rRNA". It matches the Rfam family "Bacterial small subunit ribosomal RNA", at positions 514 to 1361 of the family's 1533-position model. The record is from RNAcentral.
GCCGCGGUAAUACGAAGGGACCUAGCGUAGUUCGGAAUUACUGGGCUUAAAGAGUUCGUAGGUGGUUAAAAAAGUUGGUGGUGAAAUCCCAGAGCUUAACUCUGGAACUGCCAUCAAAACUUUUUAGCUAGAGUAUGAUAGAGGAAAGCAGAAUUUCUAGUGUAGAGGUGAAAUUCGUAGAUAUUAGAAAGAAUACCGAUUGCGAAGGCAGCUUUCUGGAUCAUUACUGACACUGAGGAACGAAAGCAUGGGUAGCGAAGAGGAUUAGAUACCCUCGUAGUCCAUGCCGUAAACGAUGUGUGUUAGACGUUGGAAAUUUAUUUUCUGUGUCGCAGCGAAAGCAAUAAACACACCGCCUGGGGAGUACGACCGCAAGGUUAAAACUCAAAUGAAUUGACGGGGACCCGCACAAGUAGUGGAGCAUGUGGUUUAAUUCGAAGAUACGCGCAGAACCUUACCAACACUUGACAUGUUCGUCGCGACUUUAAGAGAUUAAAGUUUUCGGUUCGGCCGGACGAAACACAGGUGCUGCAUGGCUGUCGUCAGCUCGUGUCGUGAGAUGUUGGGUUAAGUCCCGCAACGAGCGCAACCCUCACUUUUAGUUGCCAUCAUUUAGUUGGGCACUCUGAAAGAACUGCCAGUGAUAAGCUGGAGGAAGGUGGGGAUGACGUCAAGUCCUCAUGGCCCUUACGUGUUGGGCUACACACGUGCUACAAUGGCAUUUACAAUAGGAAGCAAGACGGCGACGUUAAGCAAAUCCUAAAAAAAUGCCUCAGUUCGGAUUGUACUCUGCAACUCGAGUACAUGAAGCUGGAAUUACUAGUAAUCGCGGAUCAGCGCGCCGCG